GUCGGGACCUAACGCGAACCCGAAUGGGGUAGUGGAUGGACAAUUGGUUAAUAUUCCAAUACUUGUAUUUACUGCGAUGGGGUGACGGAGUAGUGAAAGUCCUGCGCACUGACGGAAUAGUGCGUUAAAACCUGUAGAUAUAAGCUUUGUAGGCAAAUCCGCAAAGCUUGUCGAAGGCGAUAGUACUCAGAAUCUUCGGAUGACGAGAUAUGGACCUAAUCAGACUUCCAAGAAAAACCUCUAAGCUUCAGGUAAAUACAACCCGUACCGUAAACCGACACAGGUAGUCAAGGAGAGAAUCCUAAGGUGCUCGAGUGAUUCAUGGCUAAGGAACUAGGCAGAAUAGACCCGUAACUUCGGGAGA
This 364-nucleotide ribosomal RNA is filed under the name uncultured Vexilliferidae. RNAcentral describes it as "partial Bacterial large subunit ribosomal RNA". It matches the Rfam family "Bacterial large subunit ribosomal RNA", at positions 1383 to 1743 of the family's 2925-position model. Lineage: Eukaryota; Discosea; Flabellinia; Dactylopodida; Vexilliferidae. The record is from RNAcentral.